This 297-nucleotide ribosomal RNA is filed under the name uncultured bacterium. RNAcentral's name for it is "partial 16S ribosomal RNA". It matches the Rfam family "Bacterial small subunit ribosomal RNA", at positions 578 to 877 of the family's 1533-position model. The record is from RNAcentral.
GACAGGUAAGUCAGUGGUGAAAUCUCCGGGCUUAACUCGGGAACUGCCGUUGAUACUAUCUGUCUUGAAUACCGUGGAGGUGAGCGGAAUAUGUCAUGUAGCGGUGAAAUGCUUAGAUAUGACGUAGAACACCAAUUGCGAAGGCAGCUCGCUACACGAAUAUUGACUCUGAGGCACGAAAGCGUGGGGAUCAAACAGGAUUAGAUACCCUGGUAGUCCACGCCCUAAACGAUGGAUACUCGACAUACGCGAUACACUGUGUGUGUCUGAGCGAAAGCAUUAAGUAUCCCACCUGGG